GACGAACGCUGGCGGCGUGCUUAACACAUGCAAGUCGAACGGAAAGGCCCUUCGGGGUACUCGAGUGGCGAACGGGUGAGUAACACGUGGGUGAUCUGCCCUGCACUUUGGGAUAAGCCUGGGAAACUGGGUCUAAUACCGAAUAGGACCACGCGCUUCAUGGUGUGUGGUGGAAAGCUUUUGCGGUGUGGGAUGGGCCCGCGGCCUAUCAGCUUGUUGGUGGGGUAAUGGCCUACCAAGGCGACGACGGGUAGCCGGUCUGAGAGGGUGACCGGCCACACUGGGACUGAGAUACGGCCCAGACUCCUACGGGAGGCAGCAGUGGGGAAUAUUGCACAAUGGGCGCAAGCCUGAUGCAGCGACGCCGCGUGAGGGAUGACGGCCUUCGGGUUGUAAACCUCUUUCAAUAGGGACGAAGCGCAAGUGACGGUACCUAUAGAAGAAGCACCGGCCAACUACGUG
RNAcentral lists this ribosomal RNA (462 nucleotides) under uncultured bacterium. Its description in RNAcentral is "partial 16S ribosomal RNA". It matches the Rfam family "Bacterial small subunit ribosomal RNA", at positions 28 to 507 of the family's 1533-position model. The record is from RNAcentral.